Molecule: transfer RNA, 83 nt
Filed under: Felis catus (domestic cat)
Lineage: Eukaryota; Metazoa; Chordata; Mammalia; Carnivora; Felidae
Rfam family: tRNA
About the family: Transfer RNA (tRNA) molecules are approximately 80 nucleotides in length.
Source: Rfam by way of RNAcentral
GCCUGGGUGGCUCAGUCGGUUGAGUGUCCGACUUCUACUCAGAUCAUGAUCUUAGUUUGUGGGUUCGAGCCCCGCGUCAGGCU